AUGCCAGCUCUCUGUCCACCCCUCUCCGUCGUCUUGGCCGAGCAGGAACUGGGAGCUGGGGUGCCUCUGACUCGGGCAGCCCUGGCCCCUUGGGACCAUCAGCUGUGCCUGGUCUGUCAAACGGGGUCACACUGGGACUCAGGGCCCGAGACAGAAAGCAGUGGGCUGGGCAACAGCAGUGCCCUUGGCCUCCACUCCUGCUGGUCUGCAAUGCCAGCUGAUUCUGUCUCGGGCUGCACAGCCCAUGUGUGCCCUGUACUUGUGUCUGCCCAUGCAGGGUGGGCCAUGCCCGGGGUGGUGGCAGGGAGGUGGUACAGUGUCUCUGGGGAGAGGCAGACCCACCCAGAUCCCAUGGGGAGGGCAGACAAGGGCAUCCUCCUCUCAACAUCCCAAAGGGAAGGGCCGUCCGCUGCUAGUGGACAGGACGACACGCCUGGACCGUGGAGCACAUGUCAACGGUGGGAACGGUGCGAGCUUUCCCAUGAGUCACCACUCGAGUGGGUAGCCUGGGUGGGGAGCCAGGGGAGGGCAAAGGAAAACAGAUCAGCAGCUCCUUUGUGCCGAGCUACCUCUUCCCCAGGGGUGCCUCUCAGCGGGCAAGGGGCUGGGCCACAGACCUCCCGAGGAAGGAGGGGCCUGGCGCGAGGGUGCCUGGCUGCAGCCCGCCAGGGGGCCCCCGCUCCCCCGCUGUGCCCCCCAAGUAGCAGAGCCGAGGCAGGUGCUCCUCCCCAGCCUGCCCCCUCCCACAAAGACAGCCUCCUGGAGCCUCUGAGGUCUGUGUGGGCAGAGCUGUGGGCCAGGCCCCCAUCCCCCACUUGGCUGAACCCCAGCAGGCCAGGUGCCAGGCCAAGUGCCGGGUCUUCCAGAAAAACCCGCUCCUCUCCCAGCUCUGCCUGCAGGCCGCCUUGCUGGGAGGCCAAGAGCCAAGCAGGAUCUCGGCAGCCCACCACCAAGCAGCGAGCACAACCCAGAGUACAGGCGCUGUGCACUCCCACCAGACGCCUCCUCCAGGAAGUCUCCCGGAUGACACGGGCUGGGUCGGGUGCUCUGCUCGCCCGUCUCAGCGUGCUUGGUGGGAGUGAAACUCACGUGUGUGCCUCUGUCUCUGUGGGCCACGAGAACCUGAGGGUCCGGCUCUCCUUGCAGCCCCGGCUCCUGCCUGGCCAGGUGCUUGGGGAAUAUUUGCUGAAUGCGUGA
Molecule: long non-coding RNA, 1197 nt
Filed under: Bos indicus x Bos taurus (hybrid cattle)
Lineage: Eukaryota; Metazoa; Chordata; Mammalia; Artiodactyla; Bovidae
Description: lncRNA (ENSBIXG00005006300.1)
Source: RNAcentral